AUGUCAAGAUUGCUUGUGUAAAUAAGUGGUGCCAUGAGCUGACAGUGACUUUCUGUCCCUCUAGUCCUACCUCAAGAAUGUACUGACUCACCCUUCUCAACUGAUGACCGUCCUCGUACAAAAUCCUCACUGACCGUGGGCUCUAGAAAACGCCGGAACAGUAUGUAUCCUGCCGUCGCUGAAGACAUGUGUUAGAUAUGAAUUGUGUUAAUACUGCUUGUCUUUUGUCUGGUUGUACCACAGUGAGCAAAUCAG
Molecule: long non-coding RNA, 255 nt
Filed under: Mus spicilegus (steppe mouse)
Lineage: Eukaryota; Metazoa; Chordata; Mammalia; Rodentia; Muridae
Description: lncRNA (ENSMSIG00000017113.1)
Source: RNAcentral